This is a long non-coding RNA of Lycium ferocissimum, 414 nucleotides long. RefSeq lists it as uncharacterized. NCBI's taxonomy places the organism in Eukaryota, Viridiplantae, Streptophyta, Magnoliopsida, Solanales, Solanaceae. The transcript has 2 exons. The record is from RefSeq and is a predicted model, not a curated record.
UUCUUUUAAAUUCUCAACUCUCUGCAAUGUUCUCCUUGCUCUCUUUAUUCUUUUUCAUUGAUCAAGCAUUAAAAAUUUUCAGAUGGGCUGCCAUAGCCUCCCAAAUACCAAGAGAAACGGAUAAUGAGCACAUAAUCAGCCUUCGCAAUAAGGGAUUCAUAGUGACUAAUUUCGGAACUUUUGAAUAAAGAGGCUUCUUUUGAAGUUGGCCACAUUGCUAACAUUGUAGGUCUCUUUCAAUAUUUUUCAAUACAAUUCCAGAGUUAAUUUUCUCCAGGUGAUAUAUACACUCAAAUUACAUUGUUAUGCACUCGUAAUAACGAAAACAAUUGAUUCAACAAGGCAUAAUCACACGAUGUUUCUAAUGCAAAUAAAUUCCCAAUCCACAAACUUCACUGUACAACUUUAAUAUAA